GGAAAGGCGCGCGAUACAGGGUGACAGCCCCGUACACAAAAAUGCACAUGCUGUGAGCUCGAUGAGUAGGGCGGGACACGUGGUAUCCUGUCUGAAUAUGGGGGGACCAUCCUCCAAGGCUAAAUACUCCUGACUGACCGAUAGUGAACCAGUACCGUGAGGGAAAGGCGAAAAGAACCCCGGCGAGGGGAGUGAAAAAGAACCUGAAACCGUGUACGUACAAGCAGUGGGAGCACAGAGCAAUCUGUGUGACUGCGUACCUUUUGUAUAAUGGGUCAGCGACUUAUAUUCUGUAGCAAGGUUAACCGAAUAGGGGAGCCGAAGGGAAACCGAGUCUUAACUGGGCGUUAAGUUGCAGGGUAUAGACCCGAAACCCGGUGAUCUAGCCAUGGGCAGGUUGAAGGUUGGGUAACACUAACUGGAGGACCGAACCGACUAAUGUUGAAAAAUUAGCGGAUGACUUGUGGCUGGGGGUGAAAGGCCAAUCAAACCGGGAGAUAGCUGGUUCUCCCCGAAAGCUAUUUAGGUAGCGCCUCGUGAAUUCAUCUCCGGGGGUAGAGCACUGUUUCGGCAAGGGGGUCAUCCCGACUUACCAACCCGAUGCAAACUGCGAAUACCGGAGAAUGUUAUCACGGGAGACACACGGCGGGUGCUAACGUCCGUCGUGAAGAGGGAAACAACCCAGACCGCCAGCUAAGGUCCCAAAGUCAUGGUUAAGUGGGAAACGAUGUGGGAAGGCCCAGACAGCCAGGAUGUUGGCUUAGAAGCAGCCAUCAUUUAAAGAAAGCGUAAUAGCUCACUGGUCGAGUCGGCCUGCGCGGAAGAUGUAACGGGGCUAAACCAUGCACCGAAGCUGCGGCAGCGACGCUGAUGCGUUGUUGGGUAGGGGAGCGUUCUGUAAGCCUGUGAAGGUGUGCUGUGAGGCAUGCUGGAGGUAUCAGAAGUGCGAAUGCUGACAUAAGUAACGAUAAAGCGGGUGAAAAGCCCGCUCGCCGGAAGACCAAGGGUUCCUGUCCAACGUUAAUCGGGGCAGGGUGAGUCGACCCCUAAGGCGAGGCCGAAAGGCGUAGUCGAUGGGAAACAGGUUAAUAUUCCUGUACUUGGUGUUACUGCGAAGGGGGGACGGAGAAGGCUAUGUUGGCCGGGCGACGGUUGU
This 1156-nucleotide ribosomal RNA is filed under the name Escherichia coli. Its description in RNAcentral is "partial 23S ribosomal RNA". It matches the Rfam family "Bacterial large subunit ribosomal RNA", at positions 344 to 1505 of the family's 2925-position model. The record is from RNAcentral. Lineage: Bacteria; Pseudomonadati; Pseudomonadota; Gammaproteobacteria; Enterobacterales; Enterobacteriaceae.